CUGUCGUCAGCUCGUGUCGUGAGAUGUUGGGUUAAGUCCCGCAACGAGCGCAACCCUUGCCAUUAGUUGCUACGAAAGGGCACUCUAAUGGGACUGCCGGUGACAAACCGGAGGAAGGUGGGGAUGACGUCAAGUCCUCAUGGCCCUUAUAGGUGGGGCUACGCACGUCAUACAAUGGCUGGUACAGAGGGUUGCCAACCCGCGAGGGGGAGCCAAUCCCAUAAAGCCAGUCGUAGUCCGGAUCGCAGUCUGCAACUCGACUGCGUGAAGUCGGAAUCGCUAGUAAUCGCGGAUCAGAAUGUCGCGGUGAAUACGUUCCCGGGUCUUGUACACACCGCCCGUCACACCAUGGGAGCGGGUUCUGCCAGAAGUAGUUAGCCUAACCGCAAGGAGGGCGAUUACCACGGCAGGGUUCGUGACUGGGGUGAAGUCGU
RNAcentral lists this ribosomal RNA (434 nucleotides) under uncultured Comamonadaceae bacterium. RNAcentral describes it as "bacterial SSU rRNA". It matches the Rfam family "Bacterial small subunit ribosomal RNA", at positions 1049 to 1489 of the family's 1533-position model. The record is from RNAcentral. Lineage: Bacteria; Pseudomonadati; Pseudomonadota; Betaproteobacteria; Burkholderiales; Comamonadaceae.